UACGAAGGGGGCUAGCGUUGCUCGGAAUUACUGGGCGUAAAGGGUGCGUAGGCGGAUAGUUUAGUCAGAGGUGAAAGCCCAGGGCUCAACCUUGGAAUUGCCUUUGAUACUGGCUACCUUGAGUACGGAAGAGGUAUGUGGAACUCCGAGUGUAGAGGUGAAAUUCGUAGAUAUUCGGAAGAACACCAGUGGCGAAGGCGACAUACUGGUCCGUUACUGACGCUGAGGUGCGAAAGCGUGGGGAGCAAACAGG
RNAcentral lists this ribosomal RNA (253 nucleotides) under uncultured bacterium. Its description in RNAcentral is "partial 16S ribosomal RNA". It matches the Rfam family "Bacterial small subunit ribosomal RNA", at positions 524 to 776 of the family's 1533-position model. The record is from RNAcentral.